Molecule: small nuclear RNA, 105 nt
Organism: Chiloscyllium plagiosum (whitespotted bambooshark)
Lineage: Eukaryota; Metazoa; Chordata; Chondrichthyes; Orectolobiformes; Hemiscylliidae
Source: RefSeq, a predicted model, not a curated record
GCAUUACUCAGCAGCACAUAUACUAAAAUUGGAACAAUAUAGGGACGAUUAGCAUGGCACCUGUGCAAGGAUGACACAUAAAUCCGCGAAAUGUUCCAUAUUUUU